Molecule: RNase P RNA, 381 nt
Filed under: Vibrio sp.
Lineage: Bacteria; Pseudomonadati; Pseudomonadota; Gammaproteobacteria; Vibrionales; Vibrionaceae
Description: RNase P RNA component class A
Rfam family: Bacterial RNase P class A
About the family: Ribonuclease P (RNase P) is a ubiquitous endoribonuclease, found in archaea, bacteria and eukarya as well as chloroplasts and mitochondria. Its best characterised activity is the generation of mature 5'-ends of tRNAs by cleaving the 5'-leader elements of precursor-tRNAs. Cellular RNase Ps are ribonucleoproteins.
Source: RNAcentral
GAAGCUAGCUGGAUAGUCGCUGCCUUAUUGAUGUCCUUCGGGAGACUGAUGAGGGGGAGGAAAGUCCGGGCUCCAUAGAGCAGGGUGCCAGGUAACGCCUGGGAAGCGCAAGCUUACGACAAGUGCAGCAGAGAGAAAACCGCCGAUGGCCGUAAGGCACAGGUAAGGGUGAAAGGGUGCGGUAAGAGCGCACCGUGCGUCUGGCAACAGUUCGUAGCAAGGUAAACUCCACCCGGAGCAAGACCAAAUAGGCUUUCACAUAGCGUGGCUCGCGUUAGAAAGCGGGUAGGUUGCUCGAGCCAGUGAGCGAUUGCUGGCCUAGACGAAUGGCUAUCACCACUUAGGUGGAUACAGAACCCGGCUUACAGGCUAGCUUCAACU